This 155-nucleotide non-coding RNA is filed under the name Erysipelotrichaceae bacterium. Its description in RNAcentral is "6S RNA". It matches the Rfam family "6S / SsrS RNA". From Rfam's summary of the family: E. coli 6S RNA was the first non coding RNA to be sequenced, but its function was unknown until recently. It consists of 184 nucleotides that fold into an extended hairpin structure with a large single-stranded internal bulge. The 6S RNA specifically associates with RNA polymerase holoenzyme containing the sigma70 specificity factor. Lineage: Bacteria; Bacillati; Bacillota; Erysipelotrichia; Erysipelotrichales; Erysipelotrichaceae. The record is from RNAcentral.
AAGUACCCAAAAGGAUCACGUUAUUUCCGACACUUCGAUAUAAGGGAAACGGAAGUUGCUUAUUUGUGUGAAUGCCGGGCAUUGCUUGGAAUCCUAAGAUUAAGCACAUGUUACCCACCUGAUAAACCAGGGAAUAUAUCACCUUUUGGGACUCU